This 1733-nucleotide long non-coding RNA is filed under the name Malus domestica (apple). RNAcentral describes it as "long non-coding RNA (MDOM_LNC020128)". Lineage: Eukaryota; Viridiplantae; Streptophyta; Magnoliopsida; Rosales; Rosaceae. The record is from RNAcentral.
UCAUGAAUGGAAUGCUACUACUUAGAUGCGAGAACCAGUGACACCAUAUGCUCAUACCAAUUUCGAACUCCACAGAUAUAAACACACAACACUCAAGAUUGAAGUUAAGGGUUGUAACAGGGCUUGGGGGUAAUGGCUAACAAAGAAAGGAUAGGGAUAACAAACGUUCUUAAAGCGAUAGUAAGCAAAGCAAUGAAAUAGACACUUGGAAAUCACUUUAGAAUGCAGAAUCAACUUUUAAUUACAAAGGGAAGAUUUAUGCAACACUUAGGGCCGAAUUCAAUGUUUUGAACCCUUUCUUUAACAAACAACACUUUAGAGCUCUUUUUCAUACUUUUUUUCAAUUCUUUUUUUUUUCUUUUCUACCCGUGCCUUAUUAAGGACUUUGGCACACACACACACACAAGAAUCACUUCCCCCACACUUGCUUUCUGCAAUACAUUGAUAAAAAAGGAGUUCAUUUUAAGUCAUGCUUUAUUAUGCCUCAAGAACAAGGGUAUGGAUGGUCCUAACACUAGGCUAGGUAAGGAUAGUGUGGGUUAACAAAGAACAUAGGCUUAACAAGGCUCAACGAGGUUAAACUUAAACACAUAAUGAAAUAGGGGCAUGUCAAUUUGGCUUUGGUGGUCACUACACAACUUCAUCUUGAAUAUGUGUUAUGCAAAUCAAUAGCAUGCUUUGAAUGAAAUAGGCAUGAGUUCUAGCAUUUGCAACUAAAUGAUGAAACGCCUUCUAGGUAGCAACCAAGCAAAGAAUAAUGAGAUCAUGCAACGACUUUAGAAAACAAUGAUGCACAGAUUAUUAACUCUCCAAAUAAACAUUUAGGCUCAAGUCUCACAAGGUUGUAGCGUUCAUUUGAGUUCCUUCUUUCAAGCAUGUUACAAAAACUGAUUUUUCCUUUAUGAUUGCAUAUGAAUUCAUAAAUUAUAACCACAACCAAGCAUACACCAAAGAGUAAAUCAAAUUUUCAUCCAUGUUUAUAACUAUCUUUAACAGUCAUGUAUUAAAAACCAAAUCCUCAUCAUUGUGUUGGAAGGUACCCUAAGACACAAGCAAACACACAAAAACAACUCUUUUUGGGUUUUUCAAAACAAUUUUUCAAAUUUUUUUUCGGAUUUUUAUGUCAAAACACACUAACACUCCAAAACAACAUAAAAACACUUAAAAACAGCAAGGAACAACACUAGAAGUAAUGGGUCAUAAACUCUCACGAAUUUCAUGUAAAACAACUUGGUUACCCCCCCACACUUAAAUCGAACAUUGUCCUCAAUGUUUCAAGCAUAAACUCACACAAACACAAGCAAACAAUCAAACAAACAACGAAUAAACAUGACAAGUAUGGCAAAGUAAAAACCAAACAGAGUAGAGUUUAAGAACGCAAAUCUGGUUUUGGAGAUAGAUGAUCUUGGCAACUUUCCACAGCUUUGAUCUCGAACUGGUUUGGAAUUCUGAGAGAGGAAUAUCACAGUUCCUUGGUUUCAAAUCAGACUCCUUCUGCUUGGUUGAUUUGAUUAUGCAGUCUACAUUCUUCUCUGCUUGUUUCUUCUGCACGGCAGGCAGGCACGAGGUAGAGGUGAUGGUCUGUUUCUUUCUUCAAUCUUUGCAAGUGCCCACCAUUUGCUUUCUUUCUCCUUGUCCCUAGCUGAGGAUGAAUUAGCACAUUGUCUCCACAUGCUUCGAGGUAUCAUUUUCACUUCCCUUAUAUGUUCCCUAAGCAGAUGUGGUAGACGAAG